AUGAUGAAGGCUGCACAAUCUCGCCCUUGGUCAGAUCUUCCGCCAGAACUCCUGGGACUUGUUCUCAAGCGCCUCCCUUCCCUAGCUGACCGUGUUCGUCUGAGAGCUGUCUGCCACCCAUGGCGCUCUAAUAGCAGGUUGCAGACCCUUCCUCUCCCAUUCCUGUGGCUCACUCUCCCUGAUGGCACCCUCCUCGGCAUUCCAAGCGGUGAAAUUCACCACAUAUCUUUACCGGAAGGUGCGUGUUGCCAGGGCUCCAUUGACAACUGGCUAUUCCUCAUGCACAAUGAUGGUGUGUGCUACUUGAUGAGCCCUUUCUCCAAGACCAGGUUGCAGCUUCCUAAGCUAAGAUGA
This 354-nucleotide ribosomal RNA is filed under the name Triticum aestivum (bread wheat). Its description in RNAcentral is "partial small subunit ribosomal RNA". The record is from RNAcentral. Lineage: Eukaryota; Viridiplantae; Streptophyta; Magnoliopsida; Poales; Poaceae.